RNAcentral lists this small nuclear RNA (330 nucleotides) under Neogale vison (American mink). RNAcentral's name for it is "Neovison vison (American mink) 7SK RNA (ENSNVIG00000023944.1)". It matches the Rfam family "7SK RNA". From Rfam's summary of the family: 7SK was discovered as an abundant small nuclear RNA in the mid-70s but a possible function has only recently been suggested. Two independent studies have found that 7SK RNA binds the CDK9/cyclin T complex (known as elongation factor P-TEFb). P-TEFb activates transcription by phosphorylating the C-terminal domain of RNA polymerase II. Lineage: Eukaryota; Metazoa; Chordata; Mammalia; Carnivora; Mustelidae. The record is from Rfam by way of RNAcentral.
GGAUGUGAGGGCGAUCUGGCUGCGACAUCUGUUACCCCAUUGAUCGCCAGGGUUGAUUCGGCCCAUCUGGCUGGCUAGGCCGGCGUCCCCUUCCUCCCUCACCGCUCCAUGUGCUUCCCUCCCGAAGCUGCGUGCUCCGUCGAAGAGGACAACCUUCCCUGGUAGAAGAUAGUACCGUUUGGGAAAGGUAUAUGAGUAGCUGCGCUCCCCUGCUCCAACCUGCAAACAAGCUCUCAAAUCUGUUAGACAGCAGUUAUUUGAUUUAUAAAUUAGUUCUCAUCUUACAACUCCAAAAUUAAUAUCACUCUUUUUUAGAAUUUAUUAUUUUUU